AAGCCAGUUGUACAGGAACUGCCAAAGGCAACAGAAAUUCUUUCUCCCUAUGUCCCAGCCUACCCCCACUUUACCGAGGCCAACAGCCGCCUCAGAAACCAGAUUCAGGAGCUAACAUGCCCCAGGUCUCACGAGGAUCAGAGACUCCAGAGGCCAGGGAAGGAGAUCAAGGUAGUCAAGCGGGGGUCGUCUCAGAUCUGGUUGUGCUCGAGCUAUGCAAAUGCCUCUCACGGAGAUGCGAGGACCUAUCUAUUAUGAUGACCAGGGCCACAUCCGGAGGGGGCAACAGACUUUCAUCUAUCAGCCCUUUUCAACCACUGAUCUACUAAACUGGAAACACUCUGAACCCUGCCAUCUUGCUCCUGGUAUCAGAGAGCCCUGUCGUGCAUAACUGUGUAGAAGUGUUGGACUCGGUUUACUCCAGCAGACCUGAUCUCCGGGACCAGCCUUGGGCAUCAGUAGACUGGAAGCUAUAUGUGGACAGGAGCAGCUUCAUCAACCCACAAGGAGAGAGAUGUGCGGGAUAUGUGGUGGAACCCUGGACACUGUCGUUGAAGCCAGAUCGUUGCUCCAAGGCACUUCAGCCCAGAAAGAUGAGCUCAUUGCUUUAAUUUGGGCCUUAGAACUCAGUUAAGGCCUUCUACGGUCCCAGGCUUUCUGCUGCAUACACUGAAGGGCCACGAAGUACAGUCAUCUGGACUUGGCACCUGGAAUACAAGGAUGGAAAGCAUCAUUUCUGCCAGCUUCUUAUGGUCCUGAGGCGAGACAGUCAUGAGAGAGGAAAACUGCAAUGACUUCUGACCACUGCCAGCCUCGCUUCCUGCAUUUUCUUCUUCGGCUUACUCUUGCCAAGUUGGAGUUGCCUAACUUCCAAGAGGUGGACCCAUAGGGGACCCAAAGGGACCCAUAG
RNAcentral lists this long non-coding RNA (910 nucleotides) under Homo sapiens (human). RNAcentral's name for it is "HSALNT0346827". The record is from RNAcentral. Lineage: Eukaryota; Metazoa; Chordata; Mammalia; Primates; Hominidae.